GACGAACGCUGGCGGCGUGCUUAACACAUGCAAGUCGAACGGAAAGGCCCUGCUUUUGUGGGGUGCUCGAGUGGCGAACGGGUGAGUAACACGUGAGUAACCUGCCCUUGACUUUGGGAUAACUUCAGGAAACUGGGGCUAAUACCGGAUAGGAGCUCCUGCUGCAUGGUGGGGGUUGGAAAGUUUCGGCGGUUGGGGAUGGACUCGCGGCUUAUCAGCUUGUUGGUGGGGUAGUGGCUUACCAAGGCUUUGACGGGUAGCCGGCCUUAGAGGGUGACCGGCCACAUGGGGACUGAGAUACGGCCCAGACUCCUACGGGAGGCAGCAGUGGGGAAUAUUGCACAAUGGGCGGAAGCCUGAUGCAGCAACGCCGCGUGCGGGAUGACGGCCUUCGGGUUGUAAACCGCUUUCGCCGGUGACGAAGCGUGAGUGACGGUAAUGGGUAAAGAAGCACCGGCUAACUACGUG
This 468-nucleotide ribosomal RNA is filed under the name uncultured bacterium. RNAcentral describes it as "partial 16S ribosomal RNA". It matches the Rfam family "Bacterial small subunit ribosomal RNA", at positions 28 to 507 of the family's 1533-position model. The record is from RNAcentral.